CUUCAAAGAACUCACAUUCAGGUGCAAUGGUUGCAGACAGUAUUUCCUUGGUUGUAUGUGUACCUUGUCCUUAAUACAUGGUGUUAUAAGGGACCUCAGAGACACUU
This is a small nucleolar RNA of Vombatus ursinus (common wombat), 107 nucleotides long. Its record names the gene SNORA70. It matches the Rfam family "Small nucleolar RNA SNORA70". From Rfam's summary of the family: snoRNA U70 seems to be exclusive to mammals and is a member of the H/ACA class of snoRNA which contain H (ANANNA) and ACA box motifs. The record is from Ensembl. Lineage: Eukaryota; Metazoa; Chordata; Mammalia; Diprotodontia; Vombatidae.